This 453-nucleotide ribosomal RNA is filed under the name Cryptocelis sp. P26. Its description in RNAcentral is "partial large subunit ribosomal RNA". It matches the Rfam family "Bacterial large subunit ribosomal RNA", at positions 1829 to 2600 of the family's 2925-position model. The record is from RNAcentral. Lineage: Eukaryota; Metazoa; Platyhelminthes; Polycladida; Cryptocelidae.
CUCCUUUAGUAAAUAAUUAAAGGUAAGACCUGCUCAAUGUUAUGUAUUAAUAGCUGCGGUAUCUUAACUGCACAAAGGUAGCAUAAUUAAUUGUCUUUUAAAUGGUGACGGGUUUGAAAGGUUUAAUGAGAGAAAUAAUAUCCUUGGUUUAAUUAUAAAUUAUAUUUAGAGGUUAAAAUACCCUUUUAUAUAAGAAAGACGAGAAGACCCUGUUGAGUUUUACAAAUAUAUAAAUAUUUGUUUUGAUGGGAAAUUUGGAUUCUAAUUGAAUACUUUGUUGAUCCUGGAAAUAAUUUCUGGAAAAAGGAUUAAAUUACCGCAGGGAUAACAGGACUAUAUUUACUGAGAGUUCUUAUUGAAGUAAAUGAUUGUUACCUCGAUGUUGAAUCGAAAAUUACUCACCGACGCAGCAGUUGGCUAAGAGUAGGUCUGUUCGACCUGUAGAUUUUCACG